RNAcentral lists this long non-coding RNA (253 nucleotides) under Trifolium pratense (red clover). RNAcentral describes it as "long non-coding RNA (TPRA_LNC007800)". The record is from RNAcentral. Lineage: Eukaryota; Viridiplantae; Streptophyta; Magnoliopsida; Fabales; Fabaceae.
CGGAAAAGCGUGACACACGUGUGGGAUCUGAAUAACUCGGUCAUUAUUGGUCAAUUCAUUCAUUCAUCUGCAAAUUUCAUUCUCUCUGCCAAAACCCUAAUCCUUCAUUCAUCGUCAAAAGCUCCAUUUUCACUCCUCAAAAACAAAAAUGGCAAGUUCUUCAUCUCCAAUCUCAGCGCCAUUCUCUUAUCUUCUUCUCAGCUUUGCCUCCAAUUCUAUCUAACUUUUCUUUAUGUUUCAUUUUUCAGGCUGA